Molecule: ribosomal RNA, 716 nt
Filed under: uncultured bacterium
Lineage: Bacteria
Description: bacterial SSU rRNA
Rfam family: Bacterial small subunit ribosomal RNA
Source: RNAcentral
GGGAUAAUCCGGAGAAAUCCGGUCUAAUACCGCAUAAUAUCGUGAAUCUGCAUGGAUUUGCGAUUAAAGGAGCGAUCCGGUGACGGAUGGGCAUGCGUGACAUUAGCUAGUCGGCGGGGUAACGGCCCACCGAGGCGACGAUGUCUAGGGGUUCUGAGAGGAAGGUCCCCCACACUGGUACUGAGACACGGACCAGACUCCUACGGGAGGCAGCAGUGAGGAAUAUUGGUCAAUGGGCUUACGCCUGAACCAGCCAAGUCGCGUGAGGGAAGACUGCCCUAUGGGUUGUAAACCUCUUUUGUCAGGGAGCAACGCCGGCUACGUGUAGCCGGACUGAGAGUACCUGAAGAAAAAGCAUCGGCUAACUCCGUGCCAGCAGCCGCGGUAAUACGGAGGAUGCGAGCGUUAUCCGGAUUUAUUGGGUUUAAAGGGUGCGUAGGCGGAAUGCCAAGUCAGCGGUAAAAUCGCGGGGCUCAACCUCGCUCCGCCGUUGAAACUGGCGUUCUUGAGUGGGCGAGAAGUAUGCGGAAUGCGUGGCGUAGCGGUGAAAUGCAUAGAUAUCACGCAGAACCCCGAUUGCGAAGGCAGCAUACCGGCGCCCAACUGACGCUGAAGCACGAAAGCGUGGGUAUCGAACAGGAUUAGAUACCCUGGUAGUCCACGCAGUAAACGAUGAAUACUAGCUGUUCGGGGCAAAUGAGCCUUGAGUGGCACAG